UACAGAGGGUGCGAGCGUUAAUCGGAAUUACUGGGCGUAAAGCGCACGUAGGCGGCUUGGUAUGUCGGGUGUGAAAUCCCCGGGCUCAACCUGGGAACUGCAUCCGAAACUGCCUUGCUAGAGUAUGGGAGAGGGAAGUGGAAUUUCCGGUGUAGCGGUGAAAUGCGUAGAUAUCGGGAGGAACACCAGUGGCGAAGGCGGCUGCCUGGACCUUUGCUGACGCUAAUGCGCGAAAGCGUGGGGAGCGAUCCGG
RNAcentral lists this ribosomal RNA (253 nucleotides) under uncultured bacterium. Its description in RNAcentral is "partial 16S ribosomal RNA". It matches the Rfam family "Bacterial small subunit ribosomal RNA", at positions 524 to 776 of the family's 1533-position model. The record is from RNAcentral.